CAUGCAGUCGAGCGGAACGAGUUAUCAUGAACCUUCGGGGGACGAUAACGGCGUCGAGCGGCGGACGGGUGAGUAAUGCCUAGGAAAUUGCCCUGAUGUGGGGGAUAACCAUUGGAAACGAUGGCUAAUACCGCAUGAUGCCUACGGGCCAAAGAGGGGGACCUUCGGGCCUCUCGCGUCAGGAUAUGCCUAGGUGGGAUUAGCUAGUUGGUGAGGUAAGGGCUCACCAAGGCGACGAUCCCUAGCUGGUCUGAGAGGAUGAUCAGCCACACUGGAACUGAGACACGGUCCAGACUCCUACGGGAGGCAGCAGUGGGGAAUAUUGCACAAUGGGCGCAAGCCUGAUGCAGCCAUGCCGCGUGUGUGAAGAAGGCCUUCGGGUUGUAAAGCACUUUCAGUCGUGAGGAAGGCAGUGUAGUUAAUAGCUGCAUCAUUUGACGUUAGCGACAGAAGAAGCACCGGCUAACUCCGUGCCAGCAGCCGCGGUAAUACGGAGGGUGCGAGCGUUAAUCGGAAUUACUGGGCGUAAAGCGCAUGCAGGUGGUUUGUUAAGUCAGAUGUGAAAGCCCGGGGCUCAACCUCGGAAUUUGCAUUUGAAACUGGCAGACUAGAGUACUGGAGAGGGGGGGUA
Molecule: ribosomal RNA, 631 nt
Filed under: Vibrio azureus
Lineage: Bacteria; Pseudomonadati; Pseudomonadota; Gammaproteobacteria; Vibrionales; Vibrionaceae
Description: bacterial SSU rRNA
Rfam family: Bacterial small subunit ribosomal RNA
Source: RNAcentral